GAUGAACGCUGGCGGCGUGCCUAAUACAUGCAAGUCGAGCGAACAGACGAGGAGCUUGCUCCUCUGACGUUAGCGGCGGACGGGUGAGUAACACGUGGAUAACCUACCUAUAAGACUGGGAUAACUUCGGGAAACCGGAGCUAAUACCGGAUAACAUGUUGAACCGCAUGGUUCAACAGUGAAAGACGGUCUUGCUGUCACUUAUAGAUGGAUCCGCGCCGCAUUAGCUAGUUGGUAAGGUAACGGCUUACCAAGGCAACGAUGCGUAGCCGACCUGAGAGGGUGAUCGGCCACACUGGAACUGAGACACGGUCUAGACUCCUACGGGAGGCAGCAGUAGGGAAUCUUCCGCAAUGGGCGAAAGCCUGACGGAGCAACGCCGCGUGAGUGAAGAAGGUCUUCGGAUCGUAAAACUCUGUUAUUAGGGAAGAACAAAUGUGUAAGUAACUAUGCACGUCUUGACGGUACCUAAUCAGAAAGCCACGGCUAACUACGUG
RNAcentral lists this ribosomal RNA (497 nucleotides) under uncultured bacterium. RNAcentral's name for it is "partial 16S ribosomal RNA". It matches the Rfam family "Bacterial small subunit ribosomal RNA", at positions 28 to 507 of the family's 1533-position model. The record is from RNAcentral.